Molecule: small RNA, 1657 nt
Filed under: Pongo abelii (Sumatran orangutan)
Lineage: Eukaryota; Metazoa; Chordata; Mammalia; Primates; Hominidae
Description: retained intron
Source: RNAcentral
ACUGAGAGAUGGCUAUUACAUCCAAGGUAGGCAUUUGUAACUUGCUGAACAGUUUUUGAGAGGUUUUGUGUACUUCAGUCUUCAAGGUUAUAGAAAAUCAGGUCUAUUCCAACAAAUAGUGUCAUUUUUGGGUUAAAAAAAGACGUGGACUUCAGGGAGUUGACCACCAUUUUGGUGGCAGAGAAAAUUUUAUUAAAGUUGUGUCAUUUGCAUGCUGUGUCAUGCUAGGCAUGGUUUAGAAAAAACUAUGACUUACACUGGGACUUAUAAGUCAUAUUUAAAACAAUAAUAAGCUGUUAACAGCAGUUUCAGUAUUUGGAAACUUAGGUUCAUGUAUGUAUUUUGGUGUGGUGAUCAAUGAGUGUUUCUAGUGUAUUAGAAAACAAUAAACACCAGAUACUAGACCAGAGGAGAUAGGAGAUCUUAACAAGUGUUAUACAAGACUAACGGAUUUCUUGUUAAAUUGUUUGUACUAAGUUAUUGUGCAGAGUAUUUUUCUCAAACAGUUUGAUUUAAAAAUUGCAAAGAAAAUGUUCAUUGUACCAAAAAGAGAAAUAAAGAAAAUACUCAUCUCUCUUGGAACCUCACGUUGCUGAUAACACAUUAUCUGGAAUCAUUCCAUGCCUUUUGCUUUCCUUGAGCAUGUACACAUAAACACAAGAAUUUCCCCCAAAAGAAUCCUUUAACCAAAAAGUUGUGGUUUCUUGCCUUACUAACUGUGCCAUAGUUAUUCCUGCAGGUGAAUAUGUAGACUUUAUCUGGGUUAUUUAUUUAAUUUUUUUUUGAGACAGGGUUUCGCUCUGUUGCCCAACCUGGAGUGCAGCUUCCGCCUCCUAAGCUCAAGCCAUCCUCUUACCUCAGCCUCCUGAGUAGCUGGGACUACAGGCACAUGCCACUAUGCCUGAUUAAUUUUUGUAUUUUUUUGUAGAGAUGGGGAUUCACCAUGUUGCCCAUGCUGGUCUGGAACUCAUGAGCUCAGGUGAUCCACCCACCUCAGCCUCUCAGAGUGCUGGGAUUACAGGCGUGAGCCACAUUGCUUGGCCUAUCUGGAUUUUUUAAGACAGGAAUAAUGUUUUCUAGCAUAGUCGGCCAUUUAAAGACCUUCUGAAAAAUGUAUUUCCAGGCCCUACCCUCAGAAUAUGGCAGCUUGGUUAUCCAGACUCUCAUUUAGCAUUAAUUACUUCAGAUACUUUUUUGGGAUGAGGGGAGUAUUAAUGGUGGAGUAUAUCAGGGAGAUUUGAUAGGGUCAGCUCAUUUCUUUUAGGAGGAAUUGUGUAUUAACAUUUUUAGAAUUGACAGAGACCUUGAAAGUGAGGGGAGAGAUAUAGAUGACUCGUUGAGGUCUAAGACUAUAACUAGUUGAAUACUAGCCUAUGGUUCUUAGCAUUCUUCACUUGUGCAGUAAACUGAGUGUACUAAUUACCACAAAUGUUUCUUUCAGCCCAGUGUGCCAUCAUAAUGUUUGAUGUAACAUCGAGAGUUACUUACAAGAAUGUGCCUAACUGGCAUAGAGAUCUGGUACGAGUGUGUGAAAACAUCCCCAUUGUGUUGUGUGGCAACAAAGUGGAUAUUAAGGACAGGAAAGUGAAGGCAAAAUCCAUUGUCUUCCACCGAAAGAAGAAUCUUCAGUACUACGACAUUUCUGCCAAAAGUAACU